Molecule: ribosomal RNA, 253 nt
Filed under: uncultured Alphaproteobacteria bacterium
Lineage: Bacteria; Pseudomonadati; Pseudomonadota; Alphaproteobacteria
Description: partial 16S ribosomal RNA
Rfam family: Bacterial small subunit ribosomal RNA
Source: RNAcentral
UACGAAGGGGGCGAGCGUUAUUCGGAAUCACUGGGCGUAAAGCGUGCGUAGGCGGCCUCGCAAGUUAGAAGUGAAAGCCCAGGGCUCAACCCUGGAAUUGCUUUUAAAACUGCAAGGCUAGAAUCUCGGAGAGGAUAGCGGAAUUUCCAGUGUAGCAGUGAAAUGCGUAGAUAUUGGAAGGAACACCAGUGGCGUAAGCGGCUAUCUGGACGAGUAUUGACGCUGAGGCACGAAAGCGUGGGGAGCAAACAGG